GAUCCUGGCUCAGGAUGAACGCUAGCUACAGGCUUAACACAUGCAAGUCGAGGGGCAGCGGGGUUGAAGCUUGCUUCAACCGCCGGCGACCGGCGCACGGGUGAGUAACACGUAUCCAACCUGCCGAUAACUUCGGGAUAGCCUUUCGAAAGAAAGAUUAAUAUCCGAUAGCAUAUAUUUCCCGCAUGGGUUUUAUAUUAAAGAAAUUCGGUAUGAGAUGGGGAUGCGUUCCAUUAGUUUGUUGGCGGGGUAACGG
Molecule: ribosomal RNA, 256 nt
Filed under: uncultured bacterium
Lineage: Bacteria
Description: partial 16S ribosomal RNA
Rfam family: Bacterial small subunit ribosomal RNA
Source: RNAcentral